GACUUGCCACCCUCACAGAUGGAGUCAAGUGCUCUGCUAUGGCUGAAAUGGGAUAGAAAGAGUGAAAACAAGGAAAGAAAAUAACCCAACAUCCACGUCCUUUAUUUCCUGCCGCAGGACUUUUGAGAAGGAGCUUGAAAGAGCUUAAAGUCUCCAUCUUUCCUUCUGCUGAACUUCAAAGCUGGAAACAGUCUACAAUGACCAUGAUGACAACCUGUGAUUAAAGAAGUGAGUUUGGAUUGUGGGGUUACCUACAGAGAUUCAGCUGAGUAUUUUGGUGCUUCUUCAGUUUUAUUUUCUCAUGGUAUUGAUUUUUAUUAUCCAUGGUGCCUUUCUCUUGUUCUCUUUCAGU
Molecule: long non-coding RNA, 352 nt
Filed under: Crocodylus porosus (Australian saltwater crocodile)
Lineage: Eukaryota; Metazoa; Chordata; Crocodylia; Crocodylidae
Description: lncRNA (ENSCPRG00005003023.1)
Source: RNAcentral